Vidua macroura (Pin-tailed whydah) is the source of this 793-nucleotide long non-coding RNA. RefSeq lists it as uncharacterized. Lineage: Eukaryota; Metazoa; Chordata; Aves; Passeriformes; Viduidae. The transcript is spliced from 3 exons. The record is from RefSeq and is a predicted model, not a curated record.
GCGUGGGGGGCGGGCGCUGCCCGGCCCAGCGGCCCCGCAGUGACGGGGAGGAGGUGGCGGGACAGUCGCUUUUGUGCUCCUAGCCCAGCCUCACGGGGCUUUCCUCUCGCCAGUCCUUACGGGACUGUGCCCGGGAGCUCCCCGGGUGACGCCAGGCAGGCCCGCCCUCAGGUGUUCUCCUGCCCGCUGCUCCCCGUGAGGCCUCUUGCCAGGCAGCUUUAACGCUGUUCCCGCAUUGAACAAAGCAGGCACAGGUUUUCCGUGGCGCUGACACACAAAGCCUUUAUCACAACCUGCUGCUUCUGAUGGGGAGCUGGCGCUGCUCGGAAGCACAGCAAUUGUGACUACAGAACAGUCAUACUACAAGUUGUGGAUGUGUAUAGAUAUAAUUUUUUGCUUCAGUACCCCUAAGUUACCUGUGCAUUGCACCAUCUACCUCCACUGAAAGAAACCCAGUCCCUGCCUCCAGAAGAUCUAUGUUUGGAAAAAGCCAGCUAAGCAAGUGCAGAAGAGGAGGUAUUUCAGCUAGAGGAAAGCACCAGAGAGUUAAUUGUGUGCUGGAGUGGCCAAGCCUACAAGACAUCAGUUGCUGAGCAUUCAGGGUUACAGCUUUCACCUGGCCCUGGGAAACAGGGCUGUGGGAAAGGGAACUUUGGGCAGGACUGGGCUGUCUCCUGCCUCUGGCUGUCAGAGUAAGCUCCUCUGGGUCUGUUGGGGUGCUAUGGAGGAUUACCUUGUUCCUGGAGCAGGUGGGGAUGAUAGGGAGUCCCCUGUUGUGAUGCAGCAGGUGGCU